GGGACAGGGGAAAGUCAGAUGGCAUCUCAGUCUCCAUGGACUUUGUGACUACAUUUUCUGGAUCUUCCCAAGAUGGGGAAUUUGCAGUGUGCAGGCUCCUGCCUCCAGAUCAACCCUAGAGAAGCCAGAGAAGCAAGAGGGGAAGAUUCCGGGAAGGGAGAAUGACAAUGACCACGCAGACCUGGUGGACCUUUGACCCUUCCCCAAACACAGCACUGGAAAAUGGUAGCUGGUAUUCCCAGGGACGCUGUGAACUCAUCUGAGCACAACUAGACCCCUGAGGAGUUCUGAUGCCAAAAAAAAGCUGCGUGCAGUUAUCAAGCCCACUUUACAGAUGAGAAAACGGAGACACGAACACUGGUUAAGCAAUCGGCCUGCAAUUGAUGACAGGCAGUGGUGGGAUUUGAACCCAAGCAGUGUGAGUCCAGCCUGGAACAUUGUACCCGCCGCCCUCUGGCUGGAUCAGGGAGCCCAGCAGAAGGGGAAAUGCGAGGAUGAAGGCCGCAAGAGAGGGAAACUUGGGAGCUCUUCCCGAAGCCUGUGGAACGGAUGAAGGGAGGGAAGAUAGAACACGAAAGCCAAGAAAUAAAGGGGAUGCAGUCAGAGGGGCAAUGUGCGGAGUGGAGAGACCCGGAACGAGGAACCGAGGAGGAAAAUGGGACAACUCCAUCGUCCCUAAACCCACUGCUUACGGAAGGCCCAACCCCGCUCCUGACCUGACAAGGGUGUGCGUUCCAGAGCCCACCCCCUCUGCCCGUCCUCCACCUGCCAGCGGUGGGCGACUUGUCAACAAAACCCCGAACCCCGACGUGGCCGUCCUGCUGGCUCUCACGGAGGAGGUCUCCCCGUCCAAGUCCGGCCCUCCGGGGUGGGAGAAACGGAGGGGAAAGCAGAGCCCCGUACGGGAGGCAGAGCGGCCUCCUCUGCGAUGCAGCUGAGAGCCAGACAGAGACGAUGGAGGGGCCUCUGGUCCUGAACCGUCUUUACUGGCGCCACGGACACGGCCGUUGGCUUCCCAGUCGUCCGUGGCUGGUGAGGCCCACAGCAGCAGGGCCGAGGAGCCGCGACAGAGACGGGCCGGCCCACAAAGAGGACACCUUAUUUACUAGCUGGCUCUUGACAGAAAACAUCAGCUGACCCCUGACCUAGGUUAGGGCUUCUCAGUCAAGAUGUGGCAGGACAUUUUAUCCCUUGCUGUCCCCAUCCGUCCAUCCCACCCCCGCGGGCUCCUCGCUGGGAUUCACCCUCACCUGCGGCCCCCUGGGGGGACGUGCGGCUGCUUGGUUUGCACCUGAGCAGGGAGAGGGCGGUUUCUUCUCCUCUUUUAGGGAAAAGCUGUCAACAACCAGAGGACAGUUCCCUCAGCCCCCAGUUCACUUAGGGAGAGCGAGAACUUGACCUACUGCUCAAGGGAAAAAAAAAAAAAAAACACACACACCUGGAGUCGGGGCUGAGGGCAAGAGGGGCUCUCUCUGCGGGAGAGGGGGUGUCUGUCCGCCUGGCCUGGACCCCCCACCCCCCCACCCCUGCAGAGAUAAGGUUUCUCAGCAGAGGAGGCGGCCCCUUCCUGCAGAGGUUCCUGACUUGGCUGCAGUGUUCGGUGUUGCUGACACGCUUUUCUGCUUCUCAAGUUAUCCGAGCACAGGCUGAGUUGGGGGGGAGGGGGGGAGAGGGGCCGGGGUGCCCGGCCAGACGCAGCCUUCCUCAAAUUAGGUCACUCUACGUUGAGGUCACGUGAAACCAAGGACCCUUUUCCAGGCUUCCUGACAUUGGCACGGCUCCCUGUGCCAUCUCUGGAAUGCAGGGCGGUGAACACUGCAGAGCAGGGCACCACACGUGCAGAGAAGCGUGAGGCACGGAACCGCGCUGGGGGAGAAGCACUGACGUCCACUCUCUGCAGAAUGACGCUGGAGACGUGGACGCAUCUGCCCCUGGCUCUGAGUCUCCCCGCUGACCUGGCCUGUCUUUCUAACUCCCACGUUUAUUCCCGGGCCGCCCUAUCCUCCGAGAGCGACCACACACGGGGGCCUACGUGCCCACCUGGCCGACAGCAUAAAGCUCAAAGCCUGACUCUCCGCACGCCCUGCCCUUCCUCCCCUCUCCAGCAAGUCCUUACUCCCUGCACUGCCUCAGUGACGCUUCUGUGUGGCUCCAUAAGGGACCAGGAACUUAAAGAUGGAAGAGGACCGUUGCAGAGAUUUACUUAGGGUCCCCGAGCAAGCCGGCUGCUGAGGGGCGCUGCAAGCCAGGUUUUCUGGGGCGCCCCCACUGCAUCACACCUGUCGGCCUCUGGCCGCUGCGCUCCGAGCAUCUCCGUACGCCUGGCGGUUGAAUGGCAGGCAGAGUGGACGCUCCCUGAGAGCAGGGAGUCUGCGGGUCACGCUCUGCGACAUCCCUGUUACAGGCACUCCACACCUGCCUGUCCGGUGACGGUCUCUAGGCCGGCCUCAUCACCGCCUCAUCCCCGUCCACGUGACUUGUUUCCCUUCCUUUUUCUUUUGUCCUCUUAGGGCCGCAACCACGGCAUAUGGUGGUUCCCAGGCUAGGGGUCCGAUCAGCACUACAAUUGCCGGCCUACACCACAGCUCACAGCCACUCGGAAUCUGAGCCAUGUCUCCAACCUACACCAAAGCUCACGGCAACACCGGAUCCUUAACCCACCGAGCGAGGCCAGGGAUCGAACCUGCAUCCUCGUGGAUGCUAGUCACAUGCGUUUCCACGGAGCCACGACAGGAACGCCUCCCUUUCAUUCUUUAGAGGGCCAGAUUGUGGUUUUUCUUUAAUGUGGGGUCAAGCUGGUGACCUCAACCUCUGCCUCCCAGGGCCUUAAAUGGAAAUAACAUCCUGAGCGUAAGGUGAGCCCCAGGUCCAGCACGCGCGGCUCCUUCUUUGGCUUCCCUGCUGUCAGGAUGUCUCCUUUCAUGCUUGGGCAUCGCUGACUCCACUGUUGACAUUCUGCCUCACUCAGCAGCUCCAUCUGGUCGUCAGAUCCCUCCUCCCUGUUUGAAUUCUGUAUCUAUGUGUUUAAGUAAAGCCAGAAAACACU
This 3046-nucleotide long non-coding RNA is filed under the name Sus scrofa (pig). RNAcentral's name for it is "lncRNA (ENSSSCG00060000294.1)". Lineage: Eukaryota; Metazoa; Chordata; Mammalia; Artiodactyla; Suidae. The record is from RNAcentral.